This 1440-nucleotide ribosomal RNA is filed under the name Scinax v-signata. RNAcentral's name for it is "partial 16S ribosomal RNA". It matches the Rfam family "Bacterial large subunit ribosomal RNA", at positions 133 to 2597 of the family's 2925-position model. The record is from RNAcentral. Lineage: Eukaryota; Metazoa; Chordata; Amphibia; Anura; Hylidae.
GCUUAAAAUCUAGCCCCACCUCCCCAUGAACCCACCCCUAACCAAAUUAACUAAAACAUUUUAUAAGUUGAGUAAAGGAGAUUGAAAACCCCAAUGGAGCGAUAAAAACAGUACCGCAAGGGAAAGAUGAAAUAAAAAUGAAAUAAAAUUCAAGCACAAAAAAGUAGAGAUGCCCCCUCGUACCUUUUGCAUCAUGGUCUAACUAGUCUAAUCAAGCAAAAAGCAUUUUAGUUUGACCCCCCGAAACUAAGCGAGCUACUUCAAGGCAGCUUUAUGAGCAAACCCGUCUCUGUUGCAAAAGAGUGGGAUGACCUUCAAGUAGUGGUGACAGACCUAACGAGCUUAGUGAUAGCUGGUUACUCAAGAAAAGGAUUUUAGUCCAACCUAAAGACCCCCCCCCCCAAAUUUUUAAAAAUUUUCUUUUAUGACUUUAGAGUAAUUCAGAUAAGGUACAGCCUAUUUGAAACAGGAUACAACCUCAACUGACGGGUAAAUUAAACCCUUCUACCACAACCAAGUAGGCCUAAAAGCAGCCACCUUUAUAAUAGCGUCAAAGCUUAUUUGUUUACACCCAAUUAAUCCCUUUAACCUUCUUCAACCCUCUAACAGUAUUGAGUAAUUCUAUUUACUUAAUAGAACUUAUAAUGUUAAAACUAGUAACAAGAAGUUAAGCCUUCUCCUAAAUGUAAAUGUAAAUCAGAAUGGAUAACCCGCUGAUAAUUAACGCCUGUGAGCCCACAUUAGCAACUCCACAAGAAAACUCUAAUGCCCCCCGCGUUAACCUAACACAAGAACAUUCCAGGAAAGAUUUAAAGAAAAAGAAGGAACUCGGCAAAUUAUUUAGCCCCGCCUGUUUACCAAAAACAUCGCCUCUUGAAUUAAAUAAGAGGUCCCGCCUGCCCAGUGACCCCAGUUCAACGGCCGCGGUAUCCUAACCGUGCGAAGGUAGCGUAAUCACUUGUUCUUUAAAUCAGGACUAGUAUGAACGGCACCACGAGGGUUAUACUGUCUCCUUUUUCUAAUCAGUGAAACUAAUCUCCCCGUGAAGAAGCGGGGAUCUAACUAUAAGACGAGAAGACCCUAUGGAGCUUCAAAUUUUUAUUUCAACUGCUGCACUUAUAUAAAAGUUCCGACUUCUCACAUUUUACUUAGCAUUAUGACAAUAAAUUUUAGGUUGGGGUGACCGCGGAGAAUAAAAAAACCUCCGCAUUGAAUUAGGCUUACUAAGUCUUGAGCCAAGAGCUACGACUCUACGUACUAAAACACUAACAUCCAUUGACCCAAUUAUUUGAUCAACGAACCAAGUUACCCUAGGGAUAACAGCGCAAUCCACUUCAAGAGCCCCUAUCAACAAGUGGGUUUACGACCUCGAUGUUGGAUCAGGGUAUCCCAGUGGUGCAACCGCUACUAAAGGUUCGUUUGUUCAACGAUUAAAACCCU